Molecule: RNA transcript, 2753 nt
Organism: Galleria mellonella (greater wax moth)
Lineage: Eukaryota; Metazoa; Arthropoda; Insecta; Lepidoptera; Pyralidae
Exons: 3
Source: RefSeq, a predicted model, not a curated record
AUAUAAUUGUCUAUGGUUUUUUCUAACACUUUUUGACAUUUGGUUUUUGAUUGAUAAUUAUUUAAGUUUCUUUAGUUUGUUGUUUUCUUAUUAAAAAUUUGGUGAAUUUAAAAAAAUUAUUGCUAUGACAUCUAAAAAUCAGAAAACAUCAUUGCAAUUAGCUGAAAUAGAAGUUGCGUUAGCAGAAAUGUUUAACUUGUCCGAUGAGGAUAAUGAUGGUGAUGAUAAACAAAUUACUAACAGAGAUUAUAAAAGACUGGACAUAAAUCAAGCCCUAGAUUGUACUGAACAAAUUUAUGAAACUGUUGCUGAUGUAGAAAAUGCUUUGCUCGGAAAACAAAUUCCACCGCCUUCAGAUAUAGGUCAGCCCAUUAAGGAAACAUCUCAAUCAAAUAUUAUUCAAGGACUGCAGUUGAAGGAAACAAUCCCUGGAGCAAGCUUAGGAGCCAAUAACUCUCUAGAUCUUAUAAAAGAAUCGGUGACAGAACCUCAGCCAUUUCCUGCGAGCAAGCAACCCUUUGGUUCUUUACAAACUCCUCACAACUGGUCUAAUAAAGUUACAAACCACUCAAUUCCUACAUUUAAUGAUGAGAUGACUCCAACAAAAAUAUAUACUCAUAGAACAGACACAGAAAAUACAAUUGAUUAUUUCUAAGAUAUGUUCCCAGAACAAUUAAUUCUAUAUAUUAUUAAUAACACAAAUUUAUAUGCCUUACAUAAUAAUGCAACUGAUUGAAUUGAAACAUAUGGAGCAGAAAUAUGUUGCAUUUAUUGGAAUAGUUAUUCGUCAUGUGGAUCCCGGCAUAGAAUGGGCCACCUCCUCCUUUUCCAUGGAUGUCGUUAGAGGUGACUAAGGGAGGUUAUGGUAGAGGGAUGGGCAGCAGCGUCCCCCUUAAAACAUCUGUAAAAGCAUAACUGCGCUUGCCAAGCAUGGCAACUACUAGCAAAACUCCCCUUAUCAGGAAGGCUUAUGUUCCGCAAUCCCCCUAUGGGAAGGCUUAUAUUGAGUAGUGGACAGUUAAAGGCUGAAACAAUAAUUAGAAUAGUUAUAAUAAUGGAUAUAUACCCCCAACCAGAUAUAAAUUGUAUUAGUCCACAGAUUUCUUUUUCAAAAAUAAUGAAAUAAGAAAAGUUGUCUCUACGAAGAAAAAAAAAAUUACAAUAUUUAUAUCUCAAUGAUUACACUACUACAGGCAAGUAUGGAAAGCUUAACUUUGACUACCUGAAUAAAAUUAGACUCAUGUUGACUAUACUGAAUCAAUCAUUUCAAGGGAACUGUGUUCAGUAAUAGUCAGUCAGACAGUGUUAUGAAAAAAUAUAUGCUGUAAAAGUCUAUAAAAUGAGGGUAUAAAGUUUGGGCAAGGUGUGAUUCUCAUUCAGGGCACUUACAUGAAUUUGAUAUAUUUGUAGGUAAAGCUCAUCCAUCACCAGCAUUGGAAGAGGGCUAAGCUUAUAAUGGUGUGACAAAAUUUUGCAGAAAUGUUUCUGCUGAUAUACUAGUUACAUUUGACAACUUCUACACAAGUGUGCCCUUAUUUCAGGCUCUCUAUAAUAGAGGUAUCUAUUCUACUGGUACUAUAACAUCAAAUAGAAAAGGUCUGUCAAAAUAAGAAAGAAAUAAAUGUACUGGGCCCAAACUAAAGAUUGGUGAAUUUAUAUUUAAACAUUCAAGUCCAUUAUUUUAUGUUAAAUGAAUACAUACAAAAGAUGUCCAGGUAUUGACUAGUGCUGAUAACCCUGAAGAAGUUGCAGAAAUAUAGAGGAAACAAAAGAUGUAUCAAAAAAAAGUUAUUCUGCCCAUUGCCUAUAGUGAAUUAUAUGCAAAAUAUGGGCGGUGUUGAUAAAUUUGACUAUUAUAGGUCGUUUUGUUCUAUUAGUCGCAAAUCUAAGAUAUCCUGGAUGAAAUUAGUUUAUGUUAGAGGCAGCAAUGAUAAAUUCAUAUAUCUUGUAUUUAUGUGGCCAUGUAAAUUGUUACAAUUCUCACCGAAUAUUCAGACUGUGAUUAGUUAGAGGAAUAAUUAUACUUUCCAUUAGAAGAAACUGGUUAUGUUUAAAAAUAAAAAAGGAGGUAAUUUAGAUAAGACUAGCAGAAGUUGGUAAGCAUUUCCCGAAACUUAAUGAUAAUGCUAAAAGUUACAGAUUUUGUAAUACCAGGUUUGAAGAGAAACGGAGUAGAUAUGAAUGCAAAAUUUAAAAAAUCAGCCUUUCUGUAACACUUUGCUGGGAAUAUUUUCACACAGAUGUGUCACUAAUGAAGCACUAGCAGCUACCACUGAGUUCCUAUUUUUAAAACUGAUUUCGUAUCUGUGUUCAGCACUGGAGGAACUACGAUAGUCCACAAGCACGGUAAUGUGCUGGUCUUUAGCAGCAACUUCUGAACUUAAGUAAUAAUGUACGUAAUAUCUAUAAAUGCUAAUUGUAGUCAUUGUACCUUUACAUUGUACAUUAAUAGAAUAUCUAAAUGAUUUACAUCGGGGGAAAAGAUAUUGUUAGUAAUGGAGACUAAGAAUCCCAUUGCUAGCAAUAUAUCCAACCAGGUUAACCUCUUCGCGAUUCCUCCUGGAAACUAUCAUGAUUAAUUCGUGAUGAUGGGCAUUGAAUUCAUCAUGAUGGGCUAACUGGCCUGUUUUCAUCCUCAUUGAUCACCCUUCACUGGUGCCCCGCCAGCGUAUCUCAUUAGCGCAGGCGAGGUUACCACUCCAUGUUCAUCCAAUAAAAAAAAAUAUUUACAUCUCAUCAAAUGUAUGUAUAAA